Molecule: ribosomal RNA, 200 nt
Filed under: uncultured organism
Description: partial small subunit ribosomal RNA
Rfam family: Bacterial small subunit ribosomal RNA
Source: RNAcentral
CGUCAAAUCAUCAUGCCCCUUAUGACCUGGGCUACACACGUGCUACAAUGGGCGGUACAAAGGGCUGCGAACCUGCGAGGGGGAGCUAAUCCUCAAAGCCGGCCUCAGUUCGGAUUGGAGUCUGCAACUCGACUCCAUGAAGUCGGAGUCGCUAGUAAUCGCGGAUCAGCAAAGCCGCGGUGAAUGCGUUCUCGGGGAUU